This 484-nucleotide ribosomal RNA is filed under the name uncultured bacterium. Its description in RNAcentral is "partial 16S ribosomal RNA". It matches the Rfam family "Bacterial small subunit ribosomal RNA", at positions 30 to 507 of the family's 1533-position model. The record is from RNAcentral.
AUUGAACGCUGGCGGCAGGCCUAACACAUGCCAGUCGAGCGGAUGAAGGGAGCUUGCUCCUGGAUUCAGCGGCGGACGGGUGAGUAAUGCCUAGGAAUCUGCCUGGUAGUGGGGGAUAACGUCCGGAAACGGGCGCUAAUACCGCAUACGUCCUGAGGGAGAAAGUGGGGGAUCUUCGGACCUCACGCUAUCAGAUGAGCCUAGGUCGGAUUAGCUAGUUGGUGGGGUAAAGGCCUACCAAGGCGACGAUCCGUAACUGGUCUGAGAGGAUGAUCAGUCACACUGGAACUGAGACACGGUCCAGACUCCUACGGGAGGCAGCAGUGGGGAAUAUUGGACAAUGGGCGAAAGCCUGAUCCAGCCAUGCCGCGUGUGUGAAGAAGGUCUUCGGAUUGUAAAGCACUUUAAGUUGGGAGGAAGGGCAGUAAGCUAAUACCUUGCUGUUUUGACGUUACCAACAGAAUAAGCACCGGCUAACUUCGUG